Molecule: ribosomal RNA, 1101 nt
Filed under: Salmonella enterica subsp. enterica serovar Kentucky
Lineage: Bacteria; Pseudomonadati; Pseudomonadota; Gammaproteobacteria; Enterobacterales; Enterobacteriaceae
Description: bacterial SSU rRNA
Rfam family: Bacterial small subunit ribosomal RNA
Source: RNAcentral
AAAUUGAAGAGUUUGAUCAUGGCUCAGAUUGAACGCUGGCGGCAGGCCUAACACAUGCAAGUCGAACGGUAGCACAGAGAGCUUGCUCUCGGGUGACGAGUGGCGGACGGGUGAGUAAUGUCUGGGAAACUGCCCGAUGGAGGGGGAUAACUACUGGAAACGGUAGCUAAUACCGCAUAACGUCGCAAGACCAAAGUGGGGGACCUUCGGGCCUCACACCAUCGGAUGUGCCCAGAUGGGAUUAGCUAGUAGGUGGGGUAACGGCUCACCUAGGCGACGAUCCCUAGCUGGUCUGAGAGGAUGACCAGCCACACUGGAACUGAGACACGGUCCAGACUCCUACGGGAGGCAGCAGUGGGGAAUAUUGCACAAUGGGCGCAAGCCUGAUGCAGCCAUGCCGCGUGUAUGAAGAAGGCCUUCGGGUUGUAAAGUACUUUCAGCGAGGAGGAAGGCGUUGUGGUUAAUAACCACAGCGAUUGACGUUACUCGCAGAAGAAGCACCGGCUAACUCCGUGCCAGCAGCCGCGGUAAUACGGAGGGUGCAAGCGUUAAUCGGAAUUACUGGGCGUAAAGCGCACGCAGGCGGUUUGUUAAGUCAGAUGUGAAAUCCCCGGGCUCAACCUGGGAACUGCAUUUGAAACUGGCAAGCUUGAGUCUCGUAGAGGGGGGUAGAAUUCCAGGUGUAGCGGUGAAAUGCGUAGAGAUCUGGAGGAAUACCGGUGGCGAAGGCGGCCCCCUGGACAAAGACUGACGCUCAGGUGCGAAAGCGUGGGGAGCAAACAGGAUUAGAUACCCUGGUAGUCCACGCCGUAAACGAUGUCUACUUGGAGGUUGUGCCCUUGAGGCGUGGCUUCCGGAGCUAACGCGUUAAGUAGACCGCCUGGGGAGUACGGCCGCAAGGUUAAAACUCAAAUGAAUUGACGGGGGCCCGCACAAGCGGUGGAGCAUGUGGUUUAAUUCGAUGCAACGCGAAGAACCUUACCUGGUCUUGACAUCCACGGAAGUUUUCAGAGAUGAGAAUGUGCCUUCGGGAACCGUGAGACAGGUGCUGCAUGGCUGUCGUCAGCUCGUGUUGUGAAAUGUUGGGUUAAGUCCCGCAAC